This 253-nucleotide ribosomal RNA is filed under the name uncultured bacterium. Its description in RNAcentral is "partial 16S ribosomal RNA". It matches the Rfam family "Bacterial small subunit ribosomal RNA", at positions 524 to 776 of the family's 1533-position model. The record is from RNAcentral.
UACGAAGGGGGCUAGCGUUGCUCGGAAUCACUGGGCGUAAAGGGUGCGUAGGCGGGUCUUUAAGUCAGGGGUGAAAUCCUGGAGCUCAACUCCAGAACUGCCUUUGAUACUGAGGAUCUUGAGUUCGGGAGAGGUGAGUGGAACUGCGAGUGUGGAGGUGAAAUGCGUAGAUAUCGGGAGGAACACCAGUGGCGAAGGCGGCUGCCUGGCCUGUUCUUGACGCUGAGGCGCGAAAGCUAGGGUAGCAAACGGG